This 642-nucleotide ribosomal RNA is filed under the name uncultured beta proteobacterium. RNAcentral's name for it is "bacterial SSU rRNA". It matches the Rfam family "Bacterial small subunit ribosomal RNA", at positions 51 to 690 of the family's 1533-position model. The record is from RNAcentral. Lineage: Bacteria; Pseudomonadati; Pseudomonadota; Betaproteobacteria.
ACACAUGCAAGUCGAACGGUAACAGGUCUUCGGACGCUGACGAGUGGCGAACGGGUGAGUAGUACAUCGGAACGUGCCCAGUCGUGGGGGAUAACUACUCGAAAGAGUAGCUAAUACCGCAUACGAUCUGAGGAUGAAAGCGGGGGACCUUCGGGCCUCGCGCGAUUGGAGCGGCCGAUGGCAGAUUAGGUAGUUGGUGGGAUAAAAGCUUACCAAGCCGACGAUCUGUAGCUGGUCUGAGAGGACGACCAGCCACACUGGGACUGAGACACGGCCCAGACUCCUACGGGAGGCAGCAGUGGGGAAUUUUGGACAAUGGGCGAAAGCCUGAUCCAGCAAUGCCGCGUGCAGGAUGAAGGCCUUCGGGUUGUAAACUGCUUUUGUACGGAACGAAAAAGCUUCUCCUAAUACGAGAGGCCCAUGACGGUACCGUAAGAAUAAGCACCGGCUAACUACGUGCCAGCAGCCGCGGUAAUACGUAGGGUGCGAGCGUUAAUCGGAAUUACUGGGCGUAAAGCGUGCGCAGGCGGUUAUGUAAGACAGAUGUGAAAUCCCCGGGCUCAACCUGGGAACUGCAUUUGUGACUGCAUGGCUAGAGUACGGUAGAGGGGGAUGGAAUUCCGCGUGUAGCAGUGAAAUGCG